GGUGACCUUCGGAGGAACUGUUCCUGGACUGACUUCAUUUAGGUUCUGUGAACUUGCCAAGUAGCCAGCAACAAAACCCCAGAUUGGCCACUUGACCUCUCUGGUCCCAACUCUCCUAACUUACAAUAUAAUAUGAAGUUUAUUUCCUAUGUGUUUUUACCUUAGUCCCACGUUCUGUGAGACAAUCAAGGCACAAUAUUUUGUACAUCAUUUCAGCCGGCCUGUGUUGGAGGUGGCUCUGGGGUGCCUGUGACAGCAUGUGUCUGUCAGCCUCGGCAGCUGCCUCCCUUCGACAAACUCUAGGUAAAGGAAUCUGUGACGUUUUUAUUCAUCCCUGCAUCCAUGGACCUAAGCACUCAAUUAAUAUUGGAUUGAAUAAAUUACCACCAAUCAGCUCUCUGAUAGCAGCAUUUAAAUCAACACCUGAAGAGUUAAUGUUCUCUGUUUUGGCACCAAACGCCACUGGGGAAAUUCCCACAGAUAAAGCAAGUGGAGUAACCUGCCAAAGGUAAUGAAGAGUGUGGACUCGGGAUAAACAUCCAAAUUUGGAUCCUGAUUCUGCCACUUAUUAGCUUUAUUUAUUUAAGCUGGAGGUAACUCACUUGCCUCACUGGGACAUUUAUUAGAUAGACAUAAUAACACCCACCUCAGAUGCCC
This 657-nucleotide long non-coding RNA is filed under the name Heterocephalus glaber (naked mole-rat). RNAcentral describes it as "lncRNA (ENSHGLG00000048643.1)". Lineage: Eukaryota; Metazoa; Chordata; Mammalia; Rodentia; Bathyergidae. The record is from RNAcentral.